Molecule: ribosomal RNA, 484 nt
Filed under: uncultured bacterium
Lineage: Bacteria
Description: partial 16S ribosomal RNA
Rfam family: Bacterial small subunit ribosomal RNA
Source: RNAcentral
AUUGAACGCUGGCGGCAUGCUUUACACAUGCAAGUCGAACGGCAGCGCGGGCUUCGGCCUGGCGGCGAGUGGCGAACGGGUGAGUAAUGCAUCGGAACGUGCCCAGUAGUGGGGGAUAGCCCGGCGAAAGCCGGAUUAAUACCGCAUACGACCUGAGGGUGCAAGCGGGGGACCGAAAGGCCUCGCGCUAUUGGAGCGGCCGAUGUCGGAUUAGCUAGUUGGUGGGGUAAAGGCUUACCAAGGCGACGAUCCGUAGCUGGUCUGAGAGGACGACCAGCCACACUGGGACUGAGACACGGCCCAGACUCCUACGGGAGGCAGCAGUGGGGAAUUUUGGACAAUGGGGGCAACCCUGAUCCAGCCAUGCCGCGUGCGGGAAGAAGGCCUUCGGGUUGUAAACCGCUUUUGUUCGGGAAGAAAUCCUCUGGGCUAAUACCCCGGGGGGAUGACGGUACCGGAAGAAUAAGCACCGGCUAACUACGUG